Molecule: ribosomal RNA, 253 nt
Filed under: uncultured bacterium
Lineage: Bacteria
Description: partial 16S ribosomal RNA
Rfam family: Bacterial small subunit ribosomal RNA
Source: RNAcentral
UACGAAAGGUGCAAGCGUUGUUCGGAAUGACUGGGCGUAAAGCGCACGUAGGCGGGUUUGUAAGUCAGGUGUGAAAGCCCUGGGCUCAACCCAGGAAUGGCACUUGAUACUGCAAGUCUUGAAUGCUUGAGAGGUUGGUAGAAUUCCAGGUGUAGGAGUGAAAUCCGUAGAUAUCUGGAGGAAGAUCGGUGGCGAAGGCGACUGACUGGCAAUGCAUUGACGCUGAGGUGCGAAAGCGUGGGGAGCAAACAGG